GACCAUUGUAUGGCCAUGGUCCGACUUGAGUAUAGUCUGGCCAUGGUCUGGGGCGUGUCUGACUAGUGUCCAGGUUAUGUGCGUGAGUGCGUGUGUCCGUUGGCGAAGAACUAGGGCGUGAGCACGUCGCUAGCACCGGUAGUUGCCGCGUCGUCCGCGUCCGAGCGCGGCGGGUGCGUGAGCCAAGGGGUGCGGGGCGUGGGUAGUGGACGAGUGGGCGCGGCGUAUGAGCGCGCGUAUAAGUCUCCCCGAACCCCUGUGUAUCGCUGUUUGGGUUGAGUUCGAGCUCAAAGAAAAAACGCCGUUGUUGCGGCAGGCGUUCGUGCACCAGGAAAACCACCACGUCCACUGCAGCUUCUUCUUCCUUCUUUCUUCUUUAGUGUGUGCUAGAGAGAGAGGAGUAGAGCUAGGGCCAGCUAGGGCAAGGGCUCGGCUCCAACAAUUGGCAUCAGAGCUUCGGUUCGAGAGGUAGCCUGCGGCCAUGGCGCUUGUUCCGCAUGGCGGUGGUGGUGGCAGUUUCUCGCUGCCGGUCCCGCCAUUGACGACGACGAACUACAUCUCCUGGGCGAUCAAGGUGGAGGCGGUCCUUGAUGCCCAGGGGUUGUGGUGUGUGGUGGCUCAGGCGGAUGGCACGGCGGUGGACGCCGGCAAGAGCAAGACGGCAAGGGCAUUGCUGCUCCGAGCGCUGUCGGAGGAGGUGCUGCUGCCGGUGUCGAUCAAGACCACCGCGAAGGAGGUAUGGGACUCCCUCAAGGUGCGCUUCGUCGGUGCUGAUCGGGUGCGGGCGGCCCGGCUCGCGUCGCUCCGCGGCGAGUUUGAUCGGCUGCGGAUGGCGAGGACUUGGACAGCUUCGCUGGGAAGCUCGGCGCCAUGACGGCACGAUACACAGGCCUGGGGGAGGUGCUCGACGACGCCGCACUUGUGAAGAAGCUGCUGGACUCGGUCCCUGACCGCUCGUACCCCGCCGUCGCCGGAAUAGAGCAAUUCUGCGACGUGGAUGACAUGGCGUUCGAGGAGGCCUUGGGGCGGCUCAAGGCGUUCGACGAACGGACCCAGCGUCGCGGGCAGGACGGUGGUAGGCGCGGCGGCGACGAGCUGCUGUACACUACGGCACAAUGGGCGGCGCGGCAGUGCAAGCAGGGUGGUGGCGGCUUCAACGACCACGACGAUGACGGCACGGCGAGCAUGGCGUCUGGUGGUGGCGGGAAGAGGCGAGGCCACUGCUACAACUGCAGGCAGCGCGGCCAUUUCAAGCGAGACUGCACAAGGCCGAGGAAGGCGGCGGCGGAGCGGGCUCUUCUGGCAGACAUCGACGUCGAGGGGACGGCACUCCUCUAAGCCGCAGCUUAGGGGGUGAAUGAUGGGCAAUAAGCCACGGCGACUACGUCCAGAUCGAGCGUGUGCGUGCGCGAGCUGGGUGUGUUGAGUGUAGUCUGUGUUCGCGUGAGUCAUAGACCGGGCAUAGUCUGACCAUUGUAUGGCCAUGGUCCGACUUGAGUAUAGUCUGGCCAUGGUCUGGGGCGUGUCUGACUAGUGUCCAGGUUGUGUGCGUGAGUGCGUGUGUCCGUUAGCGAAGAACCAGGGGGUGAGCACGUCGCUAGCACCGGUAGUGGCCGCGUCGUCCGCGUCCGAGCGCGGCGGGUGCGUGAGCCAGAGGGUGCGGGGCGUGGGUAGUGGAUGAGUGGGCGCGGCGUAUGAGCGCGCGUAUAAGUCUCCCCGAACCCCUGUGUAUCGCUGUGUGGGUUGAGUUCGAGCUCAAAGAAAAAACGCCGUUGUUGCGGCAGGCGUUCGUGCG
This 1795-nucleotide long non-coding RNA is filed under the name Triticum aestivum (bread wheat). RNAcentral describes it as "long non-coding RNA (TAES_LNC018502)". The record is from RNAcentral. Lineage: Eukaryota; Viridiplantae; Streptophyta; Magnoliopsida; Poales; Poaceae.